RNAcentral lists this ribosomal RNA (253 nucleotides) under uncultured bacterium. RNAcentral describes it as "partial 16S ribosomal RNA". It matches the Rfam family "Bacterial small subunit ribosomal RNA", at positions 524 to 776 of the family's 1533-position model. The record is from RNAcentral.
UACGUAGAUGGCAAGCGUUGUCCGGAUUUAUUGGGUUUAAAGGGUGCGUAGGUGGUCUAUUAAGUCAGUGCUGAAAUAUCCCGGCUUAACCGGGAGGGUGGCAUUGAUACUGAUGGACUUGAGUAUAGUUGAGGUAGGCGGAAUUGACGGUGUAGCGGUGAAAUGCUUAGAUAUCGUCAAGAACACCGAUAGUAAAGACAGCUUACUAAACUAUAACUGACGCUGAGGCACGAAAGUGUGGGGAUCAAACAGG